UGGAGAUAGAUCCAUGUGUUGACCUAGCACAAUAUCAGCAAAGCUGGCUGAGCUUGUGUAACCAAGCUGGGCUUGGCUUGUGUUGAACCUUAGAAAAUCCACUAUUCAGGAAAUAUUUUGUCUCAUGUUUAACCCAUUCCUUUUGUAACACACGAGCUAAGCAGAAGAAUAUUAAGCAAUGGGAGGAGGAGGGUAUAGAGAAGGGGUCGCUACUGAAGCAACAAAUGGAGCCAGAAGGAUUAAGGUCAAGCACAGCAUACUGUGGACCACAAUACACUUUGAACAUCAGGACUGUACUGAUGGAACUGAACCCCAA
RNAcentral lists this long non-coding RNA (316 nucleotides) under Gallus gallus (chicken). RNAcentral describes it as "long non-coding RNA NONGGAT006824". The record is from RNAcentral. Lineage: Eukaryota; Metazoa; Chordata; Aves; Galliformes; Phasianidae.